RNAcentral lists this unclassified non-coding RNA (645 nucleotides) under Bombus terrestris (buff-tailed bumblebee). Its description in RNAcentral is "misc RNA ENSBTSG00005034949.1". The record is from RNAcentral. Lineage: Eukaryota; Metazoa; Arthropoda; Insecta; Hymenoptera; Apidae.
CAAAUGAUAGUUGUUUUGCAUAAUCUCACUACUAUCUUUUCCCUUUCUUAUUUAUAAAAUGAUGUUUAUUUAUUAAAAGUAUAUAUAAAAUAUGGCAAAAUAAAAAUGUGACAGCACUAAAGUGUGCUUCAAGUGCACCAAUCAUCUUUGGACCGUACAUUUGUUCAAUUUGAUUGGGAUUGGGGAAGUAGAUUGAUUCUUCAGGGUGAGAGGAGAUUGGGACAUAUUGGCAUCGUCCGAAAAGGAAAAAUCGGAACUGAACUACAUCCCACGUACAGAACGAUUGUUUACAUACAUUACCGAAGAUCGAUAAAUAUGGGUGGAAGAAGAAUAAGAGAGGUCAAACGAAAUGCAAGGACAUUCAACUCAAAAUUCGUCGACACUGUUUUCCACAAAGACAUGAUAUUACAUAUUUCCAAGAACACCUCAAACAACGUCUAAUAUCAUUCGGUUAUAAAAAUAGAUUAAUGCAGUGUAUAUGUAUGUUCGUUUGGGGAAAGACGAAUACAACGAGCGAAAUACUUGCUGCACGUGUUACGAUCGAUGGAAGACUUCGCUAAAACGAUAGGUGCGCCAAAGGGAAUCGAGCGAAUGAACUAUUUCGUACAAAUAAAUGAUCACUCAUUCAUAAAUAAGAUUUAAAGA